Molecule: long non-coding RNA, 552 nt
Organism: Panthera uncia (snow leopard)
Lineage: Eukaryota; Metazoa; Chordata; Mammalia; Carnivora; Felidae
Exons: 2
Source: RefSeq, a predicted model, not a curated record
GGCUAACUGAGAAUAUAAGAUGAAUAAGGAAAUGCACAUCUUCGUAUUUUUAGAACUUAAAUGAAGUUGGAGAAUAACCUGCAAGUUGUAAGAAGCCCUGGAGAAUGACUAAUGUUAUCAGCUGAAAGAAAUCAAGAUCCAGAGAGGGAGCCUGUUCUUCCUAAGUGCUGUUCAAGUCACCAGCACCUCAGAAAACCAUCGAACAUCGGAGAAUGGCCACUGCACACAUUAAUGUGUCCACUGCUGCCCUUUGACCAUUUUUGUACCUAUUCAUGCUGUUUCAGGUUCAAUGUUGUCAUCUCACACUGGACUCCUGUUCUCCAACAAGUGACUGUGUAAACGGGGAGGAGAGAAAUCGCAAGGUUUCUAACGUAACUACGUGGGGCUUUUAUUGUGUUUUCUCUUCCAGUUUAGAGAUAGUCAAUGGAUAAAAAGUAAAUAUUCCCGAGGGCUCUUUUUCUGAACUGCAGUGGCAUUAUUAGUAAUGCCUACUUCAUUGGUGUGUAAGAUUUGAAAAUGUUCCAUAAAGCAUCAAGCACAAUGCAAACAUUC